This 383-nucleotide ribosomal RNA is filed under the name uncultured eukaryote. RNAcentral's name for it is "partial 18S ribosomal RNA". It matches the Rfam family "Eukaryotic small subunit ribosomal RNA", at positions 592 to 976 of the family's 1831-position model. The record is from RNAcentral.
CAAUAGCGUAUAUUAAAGUUGUUGCAGUUAAAAAGCUCGUAGUUGGAUUUCUGGUGGGAGCGAUCGGUCUGGCGCUUAGCGCGAGUACUUGCAUCGUCUCCGGCCAUCCUUGGGGAGAGUCUGUCUGGCAUUAAGUUGUCGGGCAGAGGAUCCUCAUCGUUUAUUGUGAAAAAAUUAGAGUGUUCAAAGCAGGCUUAUGCCGUUGAAUAUAUUAGCAUGGAAUAAUAAGAUAGGACUUUGGUACUAUUUUGUUGGUUUGCGCACCAAAGUAAUGAUUAAUAGGGACAGUUGGGGGUAUUCGUAUUCCGUUGUCAGAGGUGAAAUUCUUGGAUUUACGGAAGACGAACUACUGCGAAAGCAUUUACCAAGGAUGUUUUCAUUAA